This 301-nucleotide small nuclear RNA is filed under the name Spermophilus dauricus (Daurian ground squirrel). Its description in RNAcentral is "7SK RNA (ENSSDAG00000018184.1)". It matches the Rfam family "7SK RNA". From Rfam's summary of the family: 7SK was discovered as an abundant small nuclear RNA in the mid-70s but a possible function has only recently been suggested. Lineage: Eukaryota; Metazoa; Chordata; Mammalia; Rodentia; Sciuridae. The record is from Rfam by way of RNAcentral.
GAAUAUGAGGAUGAUCUGGCUGUGACAUCUGUCACGCCAUUGAUCACUGGAGUUGAUUCCACUGAAUUAGUUGACUAGGUGGGUGUCUCCUUUCUCACCACUCCAUGUACCACCCUCCUGAAGCUGCAGUUGCACCCAUGGUUGAAAAGACGACCUUCCCAGAUAGAGAAGGACCAUUCUGAAGUCCAGAGAAUACUGAGUACCGCACUCCCUAGAAACUCCAAACAAGCAUUCAAGAAAGGCUGGUAGCUCAAUGGUAGAAUACUUGCUAAGCAUGCCUUGAGCUCUAUCCCCAGUAAAU